RNAcentral lists this unclassified non-coding RNA (523 nucleotides) under Hevea brasiliensis (rubber tree). The record is from RNAcentral. Lineage: Eukaryota; Viridiplantae; Streptophyta; Magnoliopsida; Malpighiales; Euphorbiaceae.
GCGUUGGCAAACCAAACCAAAAUAGCUUUUGAGAUGGAGAGCCUAGUUCAGCAAGGAGACCUGCCUGUACAUCAAUUCACACUCCUUGGCCCUCAAUUUCAAAAUGGUAGCGAAGAGGCAAGGGUUAAUGGCCAUAGAUGAUAGAUCCAAAACCCAAAAGCAUGAUGGGCUGAGCUGCAACGAGCUAGACCCAUGAGCUGAGCUAAUCAAACCAGACUCAGGUGGAUCCAUGGGUUAGCCCAGUGAACUAGACCUUAAAGGCAAAGCCAAGAGGAACUAGCUCCAAGUUAAAUCGGCUACUCCAUGCAAUGCCAAGUGACAGCUAGCACUAUGAAGUCUGAACCAAACCCAGUUGCACCUGAGGAGGGUAUUGGAAUAUGGCUUGUGGAAAAAAGUCUGAUAUCGAUAAUGUACAAGAAAAUUACAUAAUAUGUAAGUGUUGACAAAUCAGAUCAAUGGGGUCUAGUGAUGGAGAGCCUAGUUCAGAUGGAGACCUGCUUAUUUAUUAAUCCACACUCCUUGG